AUACUCAAGCCCAACAAACUGGCUUAAUUAAGAGAUGGGAUUUAGAUACUUCCCCGGCAGUCCAGUGGUUAAGAUGCCUUGAGUCCAAUGCAAGGAGUGCAGUUUCAGUCUUUGGUCAGGGAACUAAGAUCCCACACAGCUCACAGUGCAGCCAAAAAAAAGGAAAGAAAUUUAUUGGCUCAAGCAACAAAAAUGGCCAGGUUAACCUGUUGAUGCAAACAAAGGCCUCAGGACUCCCACAGGCCACAUCCCUCCAGCCCACCUCAGCCUGGUUUCCCUGACUCCACUAGGCAACUAGAUGAUAAAUAGCAGCUUCACUCACGUGCUCAUAGAGCUUGUAAUUUCAGAAUAAAAAUCUCUUAGGGAAGUUCCAUCUGUAAACCGUUCCAUUCAGUAUGUCUCAGGGAUGGAGUACUCUACUGGCCAGAGCUGAGUCAGCCUCACUGAAUGCAUAAGGAGUUGGCCCUGCGUAUCUGCAGAUUCAAGGGUCUAAGGGUCACAGGGGCCUGGCUCAUCACAGGAAGGUUCACCAGGCACAGACAUACACUGCAGGGUGUCCGGAAGACCCAGCUCGGCCAGAAAGGGGAAGGCAGCAGCACAGUCCACCAAGAAUGUACGCUGUGAAAACCAGGAGCCUGAGGUCAGCACAGGGGUUGAUGGAUACCGAAAACUUAUGCACAGGGGUAUGUGUGUGUGUGUGUGUGAGUGUAUAGUUACUCAGUCACCCCAUCAACUCCGUAAUAUCCCCAUUUUUCAAGUGAGAAAAAAUGGAAACUCAGAGAUACAAUUUGCUGGGAAGGGACAGAGCUAGAAUUCAGAUCUGGAUAAGCUUGACUCCGAAUCCUGCGUGUUUUCCAUGCAGAAUGCCAGCCCCGGAGAAGCCUCUAGGUGAGACUGACAGGUGAGCGCUUGGAACUACCAGCCCUCAGGAGUCCACUUUCGCCUGCCCAGCCCCAGGAUGGGGGCUGGCAGCCACAGUCCCGCACAGCUCCCUGCUGAGCCGCCCUUGACGAGCAUCAGCAACCAGUGCCUCUCCCAGUGGGAGGACGCUCCUACCAGGGAGCGGCUCUGCCAGCCUGAUCUCUGACUGUGGGAGAGAACCGCCUGGUGCUGUCGGUGACACGGGGUCCACAGACAGGUGAAGGAAGAAGGAGAGGCGUGUUGGCUGUGGGAUGACUGGGCGAGACAAUGAAUAAUAGAGUCCUAGGAAAAUAAAUGAGAGAAAACUUACUAUCUCACGUUCAGAGAUUUAAAUGGGAAUGUGGCACCAGAGAGAGAGGAGGCUCUGAAACAGAAAAUGAGGACAGCCUAUCUUCUCUGAUGGCUCAGGUGAUAAAGAAUCUGCCGGCAAUGCAGGAGAUCCAGGUUCAGUCCCUGGGGUGGGGAAGAUCCCCUGGAGGAGGGCAUGGCCACCCACUCCAGUAUUCUUGCCUGGAGAAUCCCAUGGACAGAGGAGCUUGGCAGGCUCCAGUCCGUGGAGUUGAAAAGAGUCGGACACAACUGAAUGACUAACACUUUGAUCUGCAGAAAAUCCUCGGACAGGAAAAGGGGGAAACCCAAAGAAACCAGCAGAGCUGUGCAGAGAGCUCCCUGACAGGCUCACAAAUCCAAAGGCAGAUGUAAGAGGAGGAAGGUUGAAGUCCUGGAUAAGCUGAGACUUGAAAGAGUUCAGAUAGUAAAAGAUGUUCUUGGUUACAUUCGGAGAAGGUGUGGAUGACAUGUCAGGUUAGCAGUUGUUGGAAAGUAGGAUACUCAACCCCGAUUUUCUUCACUCUUCAUAGAAGAAGAGCAUUUCUAAACUGGAGUGAGGCAAGAAAAUGUGGGAUAGAGGAAACUGAAACUCCAGAGAAAAGACAGUAAGUAAACCCAGGCACCCAUUUAAAUAAGUUGCAAGACGUUCCUGGUGGUCCAGUGGCUUGGACUUCGCACUCCCAAUGCGGGGGGCACAGGUUCAAUUCCCUGUUCGGGGAACUAAGAUCCCACAUACUGCACGGUGCAGCCAAAAAUAAAAAAUAAUAAAAUGAGUUGCAAAUCCCAAGGUGUUAAACUUUGCAGAGAAGAUCCUGGAGUCCUUGCCAGUGUGCGUGAGAAAGCCGUGCAGAAAGGAAAGGGCCCCCAGUGCCUGAUGGCUGUGAAUGUCCUGGUGUUACAAAAGAGGAAAAGGUAGAUUCUGGAAACUCUAGGUGGGUACGCUUCAGGUGAAUCCCCAAACUUAUUCUAGAAUAUAAUGAACUGGGUUUAUAUAAUUAAAUUGGGUUUGAGAACACCUAGAAAAAGAAAGUGGCAGAAAGUGAAGAGGAACUAAAGAGCCUCUUGAUGAAGAUGAAAAAGAGUGAAAAAGCUGGCUUAAAACUCAACAUUCAAAAAACUAAGAUCAUGGCAUCCAGACCCAUCACUUCAUGACAAAUAAAUGGGGAAAAAAUGGAAACAGUGACAGACUAUUUCCUUGGGGUCCAAAAUCACUGCAGACUGGUGACUGCAGCCAUGAAAUUAAAAGACGCUCCUUGGAAGAAAACCUAUGACAAACCUAGACAUAUAUUAAAAAGCAGAGACAUCACUUUGCUGACAAAGGUCCUUAGAGUCAAAGCUAUGGUUUUUCCAGUAGUCAUGUAUGGAUGUGAGAGUUGGACCAUGAAGAAGACUGAGCACCAGAGAAUUGAAUUGUGGGUUGUGGUUCUGGAGAAGACUCUCGAGAGUCCCUUGGACUGCAAGGAGAUCAAACCAGUCAGUCCUAAAGGAAAUCAACCCUGAAUGUUCAUUGGAAGGCUUGAUGCUGAAGUUGAAGCUCCAAUACUUUGGCCUCCUGAUGUGAAGAGCUGACUCAUUGGAAAAGACCCUAAUGCUGGGAAAGACUGAAGGCAAAAGGAGAAGAGGGUAGCAGAGGAUGACCUGGUUAGAUGGCAUCACUGACUCAAUGGACAUGAGUUUGAGCAAUCUCUGGGAGAUAGUGGAGGACAAAAAAGCCUGACUUGCUAUAGUCCAUGGGGUCCUAAAGAGUCGGACACGACUUAGUGACUGAACGACAAGAAAUGAAAAGAAUUGGUACCUUCACUAAAAACAAGAUAUUACCAACAGAAAUCCAGUGUGUUGUUAUUUAUUUGGAAAGCCACUAGGGAUAUUUCCUUGGACAUACUGUACGCUGUUUCCAGUUAGACAUCAAACGUCUUUCAGUCGAGACAACCAGGAAAACAGUGGCUACUCCUAGAUCGCCCAUCUGGUGGGCUUCUAGCCCAUCUAACCCCUGUGCUGCUCCCCUCAGGUUGCUUAUUCAAGGGAUGCAAAUCCGAGGAGAAGCCUUAAAGUUCAUGCUUCUGGAUUCUGCAUUUGGUCAGCUCAGUGGUUAAUCGUGUCUGUCACACUGGAAAUGCAGAUGGCACCACUAUGGGGAGGAAAAGCUAAUACUUGGAUGUCAGAAUCAAGACCCUAAAAUAUCUUAAAACAGUGGGCUGAAACUAACCGGGUGAAUCUGAAAGAAGUGGAAAGACCUGCGUUUUUAUGUAUUUUUAAAAACUCAGCUGCGCUAGCUAAGGAUGAAGGCAGUUUGGCUUGAUGGUACAUAUGAAAAAGGCUGAGGGCUUUCAGCUGACUCAGGUUGAAUAGGAGCCAGCAGGAACCCAGCAGCUGCUUAAAAAGAUACUGAUUCUCCCUGCCUUUUUAAAUUUUAGGUACAAAAGGGUGGAACAGUGAAAAGUAUGUCUUUCUCCCAUAACCAUUCCUCUUGCCUGGAGGCAACUGCUAUUAAUGGUUUCUAGAAGAUUCUCUCAGAGGUAUUUUAUGCACAAAAAAAGCAAAUGCAUACUUAAAAAAAAAAGGAAAUGGUAGUAUACUGUACACUCUUUAUUUCCUUAAAACAAUAUUUAUUUCAUAAUUCAUUAACCUGUUUGAUUCAUUACUCAAAGAUACAGACCCAAUGUAUACUCAGAAAUGGUCAUAAAGAUCUCUCUCACCUAAUAAACUAUUACUUUAUACAUUAGAAUUACCAAAAAAGUUAUUAUAAUAACUAACAGUAUAGCUAUAACACUUGCAGCAUGGAGACCUGAACUUAAAGCAAUUCUCAACUAAGUCUUGAAUACAAAAUGCAUAGGAUUUAACAGAUUUUUCCAAUAUAUUGCAAUGGGUUGGUCCUAAACUCUUCUUCUUGUUUAAGUGGAAACUCAGGGGAACUCUUUCAGGAAAGCAUCAGUGGAAAAAUGGAAUUCUGGAUUAAAAAAAAUAAAGUUUUAGGAAAUUUGAGUCACAGGAGAAAAGAGGUCAUCUUAUUGGGAAAGCAAAGGAGGUACAAUUAUUUCCUUCCAUGAAACUGUCCUCUCCAUUUAUAACAAGGUAUGACUUUGAGGGCCAAGUACAGCCGGAGCAGACUUAUGGAAAAAGAAGCCUGAUGAGUAGUCUAGCCUGUACUGGAGUUCAGAUUUUACACGACAGCAACAAAAUAAAAUUUUCAAACAAUACACAUGAGGAUUUUGGAGCAAAAGACUUAACCAGCAUUCAUUCAACAAAUAUUUAAUAUGGAAGUCAUAUUCUAGAGUGUAUAGAUGAAAGAUAUGUUAGAAAUGAUAAAUGCCACAAAUAAACAGAAAAUAGCAAGUUGUUUGCUUUAUUUUAUUUUAUUUUUUUUAGGGUUGAUGCGAUUAGGACUGGGUUAUAGACAGUUGUUAGGAAAUAUUGUCUCAUUUGGUGAUAUUCAAGCUAAGACAUAAAGGAGAUGCAAGACUCAUGUAGAAAGCCAAAAACAAAAAGCCAGCCAAGAGUUGAACAAUAAUGUUUUAGACAGGGGAGCGAAUGUGAGGGAGAGAAACGGCACAUGCAGAACGCAGCUGCUAUAAUCCAUGACUUGUGGAGGCGAUGCACAAAGCAUCUUUAAAGACCAGAUGACCACAGCUUGGCCAAACUUCAUUUCAGCUACAUACCGUUUGCCUCAAAACAAACGUAUACCUUGUUUUUUCCACUUACCAGUAAAUCUUAGAGAUUAUUUCAUAUCAGUAUGCAAAAUGAGUCCUCAUUCUUCUAUAAACAGAGUUAUUAGUAUUCUGUGUCUCAGAAUUUAUUGGAUGGGUCCUCUAUUGUUAUUGCAAACAAUGCUGCAGUGAAUAACAUGUCAUUUCAGAUGUGGGUAUAUAUCAGAGUAACAGCUUUUCAGGAAGUAGAAUCAAAGAGUUGAAGGGCAUGCAUAUUUUAAACUUUGGUAGAUAAUGUCCAGUUAUCCAGCGGUACUGGUUGACCAUCCCACUAAAAGGGUAUGAAUGUUUCUCUACCUCCUCACCAACAGAAUAUGUUAUGAACCUAUUGAUCUUAGAUAACGUGAGAGGUAAAAAAAGGAUGGCAUCUUAUUCUGAGUUACUUGUAUUUUCUUUUUUAUUAACUGUUUAUACCCUUUACCCACUUUCCUACUGAGUCGUCUUUUCUUAGAGCUCUUAUAUAUUAAAGAAAUUUGCUCUUUGUGCUAUGAAUUACAAAUAUAUUUUCCAGUUUAUAGUUUGUCUUGACUUUGCUUCUGGCAGUUUGCUAUGUUAAUAUGUUUUUCCUUUUAAGCUGUAGUAAAAAGCUUAAAUUUUUUUUAAUGAAUUGUGGAUUUUAUGUCAUACUUCAAACUUGACUGAGCAUGCACACAUGUAUGUAUAUAUGAUGUAUGGAUCCAACUUAGAGCUUUCUAGGUGGCUACCUAGUCAUUGCCCUACAGUUUAUUAAAUCACGUGUUUUCUCUAAACUCCCACUUGUAUAAUAUGUAUUUGUCUUCCAGUAC
This is a long non-coding RNA of Bos taurus (domestic cattle), 5740 nucleotides long. NCBI's taxonomy places the organism in Eukaryota, Metazoa, Chordata, Mammalia, Artiodactyla, Bovidae. The record is from Ensembl.